This is a long non-coding RNA of Eublepharis macularius, 478 nucleotides long. RefSeq lists it as uncharacterized. The transcript has 5 exons. Lineage: Eukaryota; Metazoa; Chordata; Lepidosauria; Squamata; Eublepharidae. The record is from RefSeq and is a predicted model, not a curated record.
CUGAGAUUCUGCCUUCACAACUGUUGAGGGACCUGCCCCCCAUAAAGGAGGAGGAAUAACUUACCCCAUCCAGAAACAGUGGAGUCCUGCUGCCUUGGCUGCCUACAAGGGGAAGCAGAAGACCACAGGACCUCACAGCCAGACUGGCUGCAACCAUGGGACUUCCAUCCCCUCACAAGCCAGUCUCAGUUAAUGGCCUGAGAACAAGAAAUCAACUGCCAGAAAGCAGAGGUUGUGCCCCCAAAUCAUGUACCCUGACUCUGGAGUUCCCGCCUGGUGAUGAGUAACAGAGUGCUGACAGGCAUGUCCAGGGCAUAGCUGCUCUCCCGCAUCCCGCCCUCCCCAAACAUCUCUGAUGGACGGUUGGCUGCAACCCAGGAAGCACUUUCGCGCCGUGGCCUGCAUCUCAGCCCCGCCCCGCCGAGCGGGAAGGAGGGCUGUGAAGAAUGCCCCAGCUCCCUUGCUAGCCUAAAAACAA